GUAUUAAAACUUUCAACAACGGAUCUCUUGGCUCUAGCAUCGAUGAAGAACGCAGCGAAAUGCGAUAAGUAAUGUGAAUUGCAGAAUUCAGUGAAUCAUCGAAUCUUUGAACGCACAUUGCGCCCAGCAGUACUCUGCUGGGCAUGCCUGUCCGAGCGUCAUUUCACCACUCAAGCUCUGCUUG
Molecule: ribosomal RNA, 184 nt
Filed under: Huntiella bhutanensis
Lineage: Eukaryota; Fungi; Ascomycota; Sordariomycetes; Microascales; Ceratocystidaceae
Also listed under: 1 other name
Description: 5.8S ribosomal RNA
Rfam family: 5.8S ribosomal RNA (bases 8-161)
About the family: 5.8S ribosomal RNA (5.8S rRNA) is a component of the large subunit of the eukaryotic ribosome. It is transcribed by RNA polymerase I as part of the 45S precursor that also contains 18S and 28S rRNA.
Source: RNAcentral